This 433-nucleotide ribosomal RNA is filed under the name uncultured bacterium. Its description in RNAcentral is "partial 16S ribosomal RNA". It matches the Rfam family "Bacterial small subunit ribosomal RNA", at positions 29 to 507 of the family's 1533-position model. The record is from RNAcentral.
AACGAACGCUGGCGGCAUGCCUAACACAUGCAAGUCGAACGAGACCUUCGGGUUUAGUGGCGCACGGGUGCGUAACGCGUGGGAACCUGCCCUUAGGUUCGGAAUAACGCCCCGAAAGGGGUGCUAAUACCGGAUAAUCUCUUCUGACCAAAGACUUGUCGCCUUUGGAUGGGCCCGCGUUGGAUUAGCUAGUUGGUUGGGUAAAGGCCUACCAAGGCGACGAUCCAUAGCUGGUCUGAGAGGAUGAUCAGCCACACUGGGACUGAGACACGGCCCAGACUCCUACGGGAGGCAGCAGUGGGGAAUAUUGGACAAUGGGCGCAAGCCUGAUCCAGCCAUGCCGCGUGAGUGAUGAAGGCCUUAGGGUUGUAAAGCUCUUUUAUCCGGGAUGAUAAUGACGGUACCGGAAGAAUAAGCCCCGGCUAACUUCGUG